AGAUGGCGACCGGCGCACGGGUGAGUAACACGUAUCCAACCUGCCGAUAACUCGGGGAUAGCCUUUCGAAAGAAAGAUUAAUACCCGAUGGUAUAAUCAGACCGCAUGGUUUGAUUAUUAAAGAAUUUCGGUUAUCGAUGGGGAUGCGUUCCAUUAGACAGUUGGUGAGGUAACGGCUCACCAAACCUUCGAUGGAUAGGGGUUCUGAGAGGAAGGUCCCCCACAUUGGAACUGAGACACGGUCCAA
RNAcentral lists this ribosomal RNA (247 nucleotides) under uncultured bacterium. RNAcentral's name for it is "partial 16S ribosomal RNA". It matches the Rfam family "Bacterial small subunit ribosomal RNA", at positions 86 to 334 of the family's 1533-position model. The record is from RNAcentral.